Diospyros lotus (date-plum) is the source of this 491-nucleotide long non-coding RNA. RefSeq lists it as uncharacterized. Lineage: Eukaryota; Viridiplantae; Streptophyta; Magnoliopsida; Ericales; Ebenaceae. The record is from RefSeq and is a predicted model, not a curated record. The transcript has 3 exons.
CCCAAGGGGAGCCAAGCCCACGUGACAAAAAAGCCACGCUCUCAGCUUCCUUCCUCCCCUCUCUUCUGUUCUUCCCAUUACUCGCUCUCUCUCAUUCUCUUCCAAGAGCACUGCUGUAAGUCACCGAUUUUUGCGAAAUCCAACCGCAUUUUCACCGUGAAAGCAGCCCCGAUCUACAAGAAGGUGACAUUGAUGUGCCCCAGCUAAGAGGUGCUUGAGCGAAUCCCGAAUCUUCCAUAACACAGUUGACAUCAAUUUUGACGGUAGAGAUCGUGAUAAGCAAUUUUACUACAUAUACUCUAGUCACACGACUAUGUACAUCUCACCUCAUGGGUUUUGGCUAUGGGGAAGUUUGAAUUAUUUUCUUAUAUGAAUCUGUAAAUUUGAAUAUUGUGAGUAUAUGAAGGAUUUUGGCCCAGAGGGCACUUUAAUUUCAGUAUAAAGAUGAUGUCAAUAUUGUUGUAAUUUAUUUGAAAUGUUUGCUUGUCAGA